RNAcentral lists this ribosomal RNA (301 nucleotides) under uncultured bacterium. RNAcentral describes it as "partial 16S ribosomal RNA". It matches the Rfam family "Bacterial small subunit ribosomal RNA", at positions 509 to 807 of the family's 1533-position model. The record is from RNAcentral.
CAGCCGCCACGGUAAUACGAAGGGGGCUAGCGUUGUUCGGAUUUACUGGGCGUAAAGCGCACGUAGGCGGACUUUUAAGUCAGGGGUGAAAUCCCGGGGCUCAACCCCGGAACUGCCUUUGAUACUGGGAGUCUUGAGUUCGAGAGAGGUGAGUGGAAUUGCGAGUGUAGAGGUGAAAUUCGUAGAUAUUCGCAGGAACACCAGUGGCGAAGGCGGCUCACUGGCUCGAUACUGACGCUGAGGUGCGAAAGCGUGGGUAGCAAACAGGAUUAGAUACCCGAGUAGUCCCUGUCUCUUAUAC